RNAcentral lists this ribosomal RNA (476 nucleotides) under uncultured bacterium. Its description in RNAcentral is "bacterial SSU rRNA". It matches the Rfam family "Bacterial small subunit ribosomal RNA", at positions 915 to 1391 of the family's 1533-position model. The record is from RNAcentral.
GGGGGCCCGCAAGCGGUGGAGCAUGUGGUUUAAUUCGAUGCAACGCGAAGAACCUUACCUACUCUUGACAUCCAGAGAACGUGGCAGAGAUGCUGUGGUGCCUUCGGGAACUCUGAGACAGGUGCUGCAUGGCUGUCGUCAGCUCGUGUUGUGAAAUGUUGGGUUAAGUCCCGCAACGAGCGCAACCCUUAUCCUUUGUUGCCAGCGCGUAACGGCGGGAACUCAAAGGAGACUGCCGGUGAUAAACCGGAGGAAGGUGGGGAUGACGUCAAGUCAUCAUGGCCCUUACGAGUAGGGCUACACACGUGCUACAAUGGCGUAUACAAACAGAAGCGACCUCGCGAGAGCAAGCGGACCUCAUAAAGUACGUCGUAGUCCGGAUUGGAGUCUGCAACUCGACUCCAUAAAGUCGGAAUCGCUAGUAAUCGUAGAUCAGAAUGCUACGGUGAAUACGUUCCCGGGGCCUUGUACACACC